GAUGAACGCUGGCGGCGUGCCUAAUACAUGCAAGUCGAGCGAACAGACCAUUUGCUUGCUCCUCUGACGUUAGCGGCGGACGUGUGACUAACACGUGGAUCACCUACCUUUAAGACUGGGCUAACUUCGUGAAACCGGAGCUAAUUCCGGAUAAUUUAUUCAUCCGCAUUGUUCCAUAGUUUAUGACGGUUUUGCUGUCCCUUCUAGCUGUCUCCUCGCCGCAUUUGCUAGUUGGUACGGUAACUGCUUACCAAGGCAACGAUGCGUAGCCGACCUGAGAGGGGGAAGGGGCACACAGGAACUGAGAGACGGUACAGAAACCUACGGGAGGCAGCAGUAGGGAAGGGACGGAAAAGGGGGAAAGACUGAAGGAGCAAAGCAGGGUGAGUGAUGAAGGGCGGCGGAUCGGAAAACGCUGUUAGGAGGGAAAAACAAAUGUGGAAGGAACGAAGCACGUCGUGACGGUACCUAAAGAGAAAGCAACGGCUAACUACGUG
Molecule: ribosomal RNA, 497 nt
Filed under: uncultured bacterium
Lineage: Bacteria
Description: partial 16S ribosomal RNA
Rfam family: Bacterial small subunit ribosomal RNA
Source: RNAcentral